GAAUCUUCCGCAAUGGGCGCAAGCCUGACGGAGCAACGCCGCGUGAGGGAGGAAUGUCUGUGGAUUGUAAACCUCUUUUCUCUGUGAAGAAGAUCUGACGGUAGCAGAGGAAUCAGCAUCGGCUAACUCCGUGCCAGCAGCCGCGGUAAGACGGAGGAUGCAAGCGUUAUCCGGAAUUAUUGGGCGUAAAGCGUCCGUAGGCGGCCUUUUAAGUCAGUUGUUAAAGACUGCAGCUCAACUGUGGGAGAGCAACUGAAACUGGGAGGCUAGAGUAUGGUAGGGGUAGAGGGAAUUCCUAGUGUAGCGGUGAAAUGCGUAGAUAUUAGGAAGAACACCAGUGGCGAAGGCGCUCUACUGGGCCAAGACUGACGCUGAUGGACGAAAGCUAGGGGAGCGAAAGGGAUUAGAUACCCCUGUA
This 418-nucleotide ribosomal RNA is filed under the name Leptolyngbya sp. 102d-1. RNAcentral describes it as "bacterial SSU rRNA". It matches the Rfam family "Bacterial small subunit ribosomal RNA", at positions 359 to 792 of the family's 1533-position model. Lineage: Bacteria; Bacillati; Cyanobacteriota; Cyanophyceae; Leptolyngbyales; Leptolyngbyaceae. The record is from RNAcentral.